This 1364-nucleotide long non-coding RNA is filed under the name Pan troglodytes (chimpanzee). RNAcentral describes it as "long non-coding RNA NONPTRT017358". The record is from RNAcentral. Lineage: Eukaryota; Metazoa; Chordata; Mammalia; Primates; Hominidae.
UUCACGCGAAGGGCUGGAUUUCCAGGCGGCUCCGCAACUUGCGCGGCGCGGUGUUAUUAUUCAUCCGAGGGUGCUGCCUCCUCAACCUUUGCCUCCUGCGCCGCUCUCCUUCCCCCGGCCGCCGCCGCCAGCAGUGCAGUCCCUCCGGCACGCAUGCUCUGGUUCACCAAGAGGGAGACUGAUUUUUUUUAAAUCAUGCUCAUCAUCAUCAUCAUCAUCAUCAUCAUCAUCACGUUCCUUAUCAUGGUUAUCAUUUCCUCCUGCCAGGUGGAGCGACCACCAGCGCCGGCUCGCCUCCUGCGCCUUCCCCAGCGAAGGCAGCAAGCAGUUCGGGCUUGGCCCGGGCGGCCGCUCCCAGGAUGCUUCCUGCACCUCCAGCAUCCCCCCCUCAUUCAUCUGCCUGUGUAUUAUCUCGAUCCUUUUCAUUUCAGUAGAUCCACUGCCUUUGGUUGGGCCGGCUGAAUCGCUGGGGACUGCGGCCAGUCUCUUAAAAAGGAGAACAAAAAGCCGAAGACCUUGUGUGGCCGCCGGGACAAAGCACUUUGGGUUCGGCGAGAAGGGACGCGCAGGAGCGCUGAACCCAGAACACGCGUGGCCGCUGCGGAAGGGCGUCCGCCGGGCGUGCGGAACGCUGAGGGGACUCUCAUCCUCUGUCUCGCCCCCUUUUUUUGACCCGGGGAUCCAGCCGCAUUAUACAUGAGUGACCUUUUAAAUCUACGUCCACCCUUUACCUGGUAAAGCCCGCUGACAGUUGGGGGUGGGGUGGGGAGAGUGUAGGGGUGCUCUCUCCCUCUCUCCCUCCCUCCGCCUCUCCUCCCUCCCUCCCCCCUGCACUCCUCUCUCUUCCUCCCUCCCACCUCCCUCGCUCCCGCCCUCCCUGCUGCAUUUUGCAUGAGCUAUCUAGGUCAUUAGCAUUUUAGCGUAUGCAAGACUUGACAAAGCUGAUGAGGGGCCAGAUGGGCCUCGCUCUUAUGGUUUUUUUUUCUUCUUCUUCUUCUUCCUCUCUCUCUCUCUCUCUCUCUCUGUCUCUCUCUCUCGUCUCUCUUCCUUUCCCCCCUCCACCACUUGGGACCUGAGCGAGAGGACUGCAGCAGGCGAGUUCCGGAAGGCUGAAUCCCCAGGUCCCAGCCCCGGACCGCGGCAACUCGCCCCUGCGGCACGCCCGGCCCGGCUGCGCCCCCACUCAGCGAUGGAGGUAAAGAGGCGGCGGCCGCGCGCCGUGCCCCGGCUGCCGCUGCCGAGCCCCCGCUGCUCUCCUUGUCCUUCGCUCUCUUCUUCCUCCUCCUAGCCCCCUUCAGUUUCCUGGGCAAAGCAGAGGGCGACAUGGGUGGGUGGGUUUGCUGCGCUGGGGCGAGGUGGGGUCG